Molecule: long non-coding RNA, 258 nt
Filed under: Elaeis guineensis (African oil palm)
Lineage: Eukaryota; Viridiplantae; Streptophyta; Magnoliopsida; Arecales; Arecaceae
Description: long non-coding RNA (EGUI_LNC039990)
Source: RNAcentral
AUCAGAGCCGGACUUCACCCUUGACUUUGUUUGCAGCGCAGCUCCGCCCGGACUCCUACGGAAGCCGGGCUCCGCCGACAACAUCAGCGCAGCUCCGCCCGUACUCCUACGGGAGCCGGGCUCCACCGACGACGGUUUCGACCAUUGUCGAGCUUCAAUCGACAGAUCCACGCCCCCUGACAGGCCCUCAAAACGACCGCGACACUGCUCCACCUCCUGUGGCGGACUCCACGCAGUAUCAUCAUUCCCUGACAAGCC